UUAUUUAAGCGGGCUAUCGUGCCGUGCUGGAGCCGGCCCUGUCCGAUUGACGCUUCUACUUGGAACUGCAUCAUCCACAUCCAUGGGUUCUGAUAUUUUUUAAAGACGAGGGUGGUGUAAACGGCGGACAGCACCCCGGUGGCAAGACAAGGAAGUGUGGUUUGAGGAGAGAAUAAGAGAAAUUACGUGAGAAACUGAAAUCCUGGGUCAAUACGGCUCAACAUUUUAUAUUGUUUUGGGAUGAGAAACCGGAUAAGGAUAGGAGAAAUCCAAUUUCCUAAUCAGAGGAGGCAAAAGAUUGCACAAAUACGAUCUCUGUUUGGAAAGUGUUCUUCGUUGUUUUUUUACACAUCUAUUUUCUAACCUAUUUUCGAAUGUUUUGUCUUUGUGUUAUUUAAAUCUGUGAAUUCCUAAAUCUGCCUGUUUGGAAAGCGCGUCGGUUUCAUCCCAACCCUAACACCUUGAGCCGCCCAAGUUGGUUUAUGUAAAUCUGCCUGUUUCGACCACCAAGUUGCCCCAGAGAAUCCACUUCCAAUUGCUUAUGAAGAUUGCUGGGCUGCUCUUCAAUGGGUUGCUGAUGCAUUGAACAACUUUUCAUAAAAUUAGUUUGAAGCUAGAUUGCAGUUGAUAGCCUUUGCCACAUUGCUAAAACCUUGUCCUUAUUAGUAUUGAUGCAUGGGGAAACUGGUAUUGGAGCUGAUGGGACAUUAAUAUUAAAUGAGUCACUGUUCAAUGGGACUGAAGAUCUUGUAAAACUUGACUUAUCUUAUUGCGGAGUGACAUCUAUUUAUGUUCUCAAACUAAGCACUGAUUCAUCUAUGAUUUGUGGCAUUCUUGAGCUGAACCUUUCAGGAAAUCCUAUUAUGCAAGAGGGUAGCAAUGUGUUAUCGUCAAUGCUUUCAAAUUCGCAUUGUUGUCUGAAAGUUUUGGUCCUUCAGAGGUGUGAGCUUGGAGUUGCUGGAGUUCUUCAAAUCAGUAUCGGUAUCCAAGAAAGUUAAUCCUGCUCAACAUGGUUCAGCAACUCGGCUUGAACUUGGUGAUAGUGCAGAUGAUGAAGUUAGAGUUGAAGCUGCUGCAUCUGGCGUCGAUGACAGCUGCAAAGUGCAGAGGUAUUGUAUUCUGCAUGGUCAAGAUCAAGAUAUGGUUCAGCUCGGAAGCAUAUCAAGGACCAGACAAUCCAUUUGUUCUUAGAGGGAAUGAAAUGUUGUGUGAAACCCUGCUGCAGAAAGGAUUAAUUUUCUUGCUUUGCUGCUACAAUAUCGUCAUCCAAGGGAAAUCACAAACAGUUUUGCCAAAGCAGCAGGACCUGGUUUGUGUCUUGCUUUCUUUGUUUUUCUUGGUUAUUUUUUGUUCAACUCAUAACUUAUCAGACAAUAUUUUGAUGAUGCAAGCAAAAGCCUAAAUGGGUUUCUUC
Non-coding RNA from Prunus mume (Japanese apricot), 1414 nucleotides. The record is from RefSeq and is a predicted model, not a curated record. Lineage: Eukaryota; Viridiplantae; Streptophyta; Magnoliopsida; Rosales; Rosaceae.